This 504-nucleotide ribosomal RNA is filed under the name uncultured bacterium. RNAcentral's name for it is "partial 16S ribosomal RNA". It matches the Rfam family "Bacterial small subunit ribosomal RNA", at positions 29 to 523 of the family's 1533-position model. The record is from RNAcentral.
AUUGAACGCUGGCGGCAGGCCUAACACAUGCAAGUCGGACGGUAGCACAGAGAGCUUGCUCUUGGGUGACGAGUGGCGGACGGGUGAGUAAUGUCUGGGGAUCUGCCCGAUAGAGGGGGAUAACCACUGGAAACGGUGGCUAAUACCGCAUAACGUCGCAAGACAAAAGAGGGGGACCUUCGGGCCUCUCACUAUCGGAUGAACCCAGAUGGGAUUAGCUAGUAGGCGGGGUAAUGGCCCACCUAGGCGACGAUCCCUAGAUGGUCUGAGAGGAUGACCAGCCACACUGGAACUGAGACACGGUCCAGACUCCUACGGGAGGCAGCAGUGGGGAAUAUUGCACAAUGGGCGCAAGCCUGAUGCAGCCAUGCCGCGUGUAUGAAGAAGGCCUUCGGGUUGUAAAGUACUUUCAGCGGGGAGGAAGGCGGUGAGGUUAAUAACCUCGCCGAUUGACGUUACCCGCAGAAGAAGCACCGGCUAACUCCGUGCCAGCAGCAGCCGCGG